RNAcentral lists this ribosomal RNA (773 nucleotides) under uncultured Neocallimastigales. RNAcentral describes it as "partial large subunit ribosomal RNA". It matches the Rfam family "Eukaryotic large subunit ribosomal RNA", at positions 24 to 642 of the family's 3401-position model. Lineage: Eukaryota; Fungi; Neocallimastigomycota; Neocallimastigomycetes; Neocallimastigales. The record is from RNAcentral.
UAUGUGAUCGUCUCUCGCAUAUCAAUAAGCGGAGGAAAAGAAACUAACAAGGAUUCCCCUAGUAACGGCGAGUGAAGCGGGAAGAGCUCAAAUUUGAAAUCUUAAAGGGUUUCCCUUUACGAAUUGUAGUUUAAAGAAGUGUUUUCUGUUGAGGUUUUGGUAAAAGUUCUUUGGAAUAGGACAUCAUAGAGGGUGAGAAUCCCGUAUUUGACCUUUACUUUCAACUUUGUGAUACACUUUCAAAGAGUCGGAUUGUUUGGGAAUGCAGUCCAAAAUGGGUGGUAAAUUUCAUCUAAAGCUAAAUAUUGGCGAGAGACCGAUAGCGAACAAGUACCGUGAGGGAAAGAUGAAAAGAACUUUGAAAAGAGAGUUAAACAGUACGUGAAAUUGUCAAAAGGGAAGCGUUUGACACCAGUGUUGUUUUCUGAAAAUCAAUUAAAGAACUGUUUAUGCUAAGCUGUUUAGACUUUAUCAGCUAUCUGUUUAGUUUUGAGCUUUUCUUUAAUGCACUUUUCAGUUAACAAGUCAACAUCAAUUUCUUUUGCUGUAAAAAAGCUUGAGGAAGGUGGCUUGAGAUUCGUCUUAAGUGUUUAUAGCCUCUUGCCUAUGCAGUCGGAGAGAUUGAGGUCUGCAGCGUAGAUCCUUCGGGGCUAAAUGCAUUUGUGCUAAGUUAUAGCAUUUUAUAGACAACUUGUUGACUAUGAUUUGUCUUGUAGCUUACUCGCUUAUGUUAUUUUACCUACGCUUAGGAUGUUGAGCGCAUGUCUCUCUCU